UACGUAGGGUGCGAGCGUUAAUCGGAAUUACUGGGCGUAAAGCGUGCGCAGGCGGUUUUGUAAGCCAGAUGUGAAAGCCCCGGGCUUAACCUGGGAACGGCAUUUGGGACUGCAAGGCUUGAGUGCGGCAGAGGAGACUGGAAUUCCUGGUGUAGCAGUGAAAUGCGUAGAUAUCAGGAGGAAUACCGAUGGCGAAGGCAGGUCUCUGGGCUGACACUGACGCUCAUGCACGAAAGCGUGGGGAGCAAACAGG
RNAcentral lists this ribosomal RNA (253 nucleotides) under uncultured bacterium. Its description in RNAcentral is "partial 16S ribosomal RNA". It matches the Rfam family "Bacterial small subunit ribosomal RNA", at positions 524 to 776 of the family's 1533-position model. The record is from RNAcentral.